GACGAACGCUGGCGGCGUGCUUAACACAUGCAAGUCGAACGGUAAGGCCCUUCGGGGUACACGAGUGGCGAACGGGUGAGUAACACGUGGGUGAUCUGCCUGCACUUCGGGAUAAGCCUGGGAAACUGGGUCUAAUACCGGAUAGGACCAUGGACUUCACGGUUUGUGGUGGAAAGCUUUUGCGGUGUGGGAUGGGCCCGCGGCCUAUCAGCUUGUUGGUGGGGUAAUGGCCUACCAAGGCGACGACGGGUAGCCGGCCUGAGAGGGUGUCCGGCCACACUGGGACUGAGAUACGGCCCAGACUCCUACGGGAGGCAGCAGUGGGGAAUAUUGCACAAUGGGCGCAAGCCUGAUGCAGCGACGCCGCGUGAGGGAUGACGGCCUCGGUUGU
This 391-nucleotide ribosomal RNA is filed under the name uncultured bacterium. Its description in RNAcentral is "bacterial SSU rRNA". It matches the Rfam family "Bacterial small subunit ribosomal RNA", at positions 28 to 426 of the family's 1533-position model. The record is from RNAcentral.